RNAcentral lists this non-coding RNA (130 nucleotides) under Gloeochaete wittrockiana. Lineage: Eukaryota; Glaucocystophyceae; Gloeochaetales; Gloeochaetaceae. The record is from RNAcentral.
CUGAAAAGACAAGCGCCUGAAAAGAAAAAAAGAAAAAAAAAAAGAAAGGCGAUCAUGACCGUUCUCACUUGCUCUCCUUCUUUUUUUGAUCACCUCUCUCUUUCUCUCUCAAAAACCGCAAAAAAUGUAU